GACGAACGCUGGCGGCGUGCUUAACACAUGCAAGUCGAACGGUGAUGCUCCAGCUUGCUGGCGUGGAUCAGUGGCGAACGGGUGAGUAACACGUGAGCAACCCGCCCCAGACUCUGGAAUAAGCGCUGGAAACGGCGUCUAAUACUGGAUACGAAACUGGCCCGCAUGGGCAUGGUUUGGAAAGUUUUUCGGUUUGGGAUGGGCUCGCGGCCUAUCAGCUUGUUGGUGAGGUAAUGGCUCACCAAGGCGACGACGGGUAGCCGGCCUGAGAGGGCGACCGGCCACACUGGGACUGAGACACGGCCCAGACUCCUACGGGAGGCAGCAGUGGGGAAUAUUGCACAAUGGGCGAAAGCCUGAUGCAGCGACGCCGCGUGAGGGAUGACGGCCUUCGGGUUGUAAACCUCUUUCAGCAGGGAAGAAGCGAAAGUGACGGUACCUGCAGAAGAAGCACCGGCUAACUACGUG
RNAcentral lists this ribosomal RNA (468 nucleotides) under uncultured bacterium. RNAcentral's name for it is "partial 16S ribosomal RNA". It matches the Rfam family "Bacterial small subunit ribosomal RNA", at positions 28 to 507 of the family's 1533-position model. The record is from RNAcentral.